GCCACGGGCGGCUGCAGUGGGGAAUAUUGGACAAUGGGCGAAAGCCUGAUCCAGCCAUGCCGCGUGUGUGAAGAAGGCCUUCGGGUUGUAAAGCACUUUCAGUGGGGAAGAAAGCCUUGGGGCUAAUACCCUCGAGGAAGGACAUCACCCACAGAAGAAGCACCGGCUAACUCCGUGCCAGCAGCCGCGGUAAUACGGAGGGUGCGAGCGUUAAUCGGAAUUACUGGGCGUAAAGCGCGCGUAGGCGGUCUGAUAAGCCGGUUGUGAAAGCCCCGGGCUCAACCUGGGAACGGCAUCCGGAACUGUCAGGCUAGAGUGCAGGAGAGGAAGGUAGAAUUCCCGGUGUAGCGGUGAAAUGCGUAGAGAUCGGGAGGAAUACCAGUGGCGAAGGCGGCCUUCUGGACUGACACUGACGCUGAGGUGCGAAAGCGUGGGUAGCAAACAGGAUUAGAUACCCGGGUAGUC
RNAcentral lists this ribosomal RNA (465 nucleotides) under Vreelandella stevensii. Its description in RNAcentral is "partial 16S ribosomal RNA". It matches the Rfam family "Bacterial small subunit ribosomal RNA", at positions 337 to 795 of the family's 1533-position model. The record is from RNAcentral. Lineage: Bacteria; Pseudomonadati; Pseudomonadota; Gammaproteobacteria; Oceanospirillales; Halomonadaceae.